Molecule: ribosomal RNA, 469 nt
Filed under: uncultured bacterium
Lineage: Bacteria
Description: partial 16S ribosomal RNA
Rfam family: Bacterial small subunit ribosomal RNA
Source: RNAcentral
GACGAACGCUGGCGGCGUGCUUAACACAUGCAAGUCGAACGGAAAGGCCCUGCUUGCAGGGUGCUCGAGUGGCGAACGGGUGAGUAACACGUGGGUGAUCUGCCCCUUACUUUGGGAUAAGCCUGGGAAACUGGGUCUAAUACUGGAUAGGACCGUGCUGUUGGUGGUGUGGUGGAUAGAUUAGUUUCGGUAAGGGAUGAGCUCGCGGCCUAUCAGCUUGUUGGUGGGGUAAUGGCCUACCAAGGCGUCGACGGGUAGCCGGCCUGAGAGGGUGGACGGCCACAUUGGGACUGAGAUACGGCGCAGACUCCUACGGGGGGCAGCAGUGGGGAAGAUUGCACAAUGGGCGCAAGCCUGAUGCAGCGACGCCGCGGGGGGGAUGACGGCCUUCGGGUUGUAAACUCCUUUCAGCCAUGACGAAGCCCUUGUGGUGACGGUAGUGGUAGAAGAAGCACCGGCUAACUACGUG